GGCAAUUAGGUCUCGUUGGUGACCAGCGGAGGGAUCAUUACAGAGUUGCAAAACUCCCUAAACCAUUGUGAACGUUACCUAUACCGUUGCUUCGGCGGGCGGCCCCGGGGUUUACCCCCCGGGCGCCCCUGGGCCCCACCGCGGGCGCCCGCCGGAGGUCACCAAACUCUUGAUAAUUUAUGGCCUCUCUGAGUCUUCUGUACUGAAUAAGUCAAAACUUUCAACAACGGAUCUCUUGGUUCUGGCAUCGAUGAAGAACGCAGCGAAAUGCGAUAAGUAAUGUGAAUUGCAGAAUUCAGUGAAUCAUCGAAUCUUUGAACGCACAUUGCGCCCGCCAGCAUUCUGGCGGGCAUGCCUGUUCGAGCGUCAUUUCAACCAUCAAGCCCCCGGGCUUGUGUUGGGGACCUGCGGCUGCCGCAGGCCCUGAAAAGCAGUGGCGGGCUCGCUGUCGCACCGAGCGUAGUAGCAUACAUCUCGCUCUGGUCGCGCCGCGGGUUCCGGCCGUUAAACCACCUUUUAACCCAAGGUUGACCUCGGAUCAGGUAGGAAGACCCGCUGAACUUAAGCAUAUCAAUAAGCCGGAGGAA
Molecule: ribosomal RNA, 587 nt
Filed under: fungal endophyte
Lineage: Eukaryota; Fungi
Description: eukaryotic LSU rRNA
Rfam family: 5.8S ribosomal RNA (bases 216-369)
Source: RNAcentral